Molecule: ribosomal RNA, 482 nt
Filed under: uncultured bacterium
Lineage: Bacteria
Description: bacterial SSU rRNA
Rfam family: Bacterial small subunit ribosomal RNA
Source: RNAcentral
UGCAAGUCGAGCGAGCGGAACCAACAGAUUUACUUCGGUAAUGACGUUGGGAAAGCGAGCGGCGGAUGGGUGAGUAACACGUGGGGAACCUGCCCCUAAGUCUGGGAUACCAUUUGGAAACAGGUGCUAAUACCGGAUAAUAAAGCAGAUCGCAUGAUCAGCUUUUGAAAGGCGGCGUAAGCUGUCGCUAAGGGAUGGCCCCGCGGUGCAUUAGCUAGUUGGUAAGGUAACGGCUUACCAAGGCGACGAUGCAUAGCCGAGUUGAGAGACUGAUCGGCCACAUUGGGACUGAGACACGGCCCAAACUCCUACGGGAGGCAGCAGUAGGGAAUCUUCCGCAAUGGACGAAAGUCUGACGGAGCAACGCCGCGUGAGUGAAGAAGGCCUUCGGGUCGUAAAACUCUGUUGCCGGGGAAGAACAAGUGCCGUUCGAAUAGGGCGGCGCCUUGACGGUACCCGGCCAGAAAGCCACGGCUAACUAC